RNAcentral lists this ribosomal RNA (523 nucleotides) under uncultured bacterium. RNAcentral's name for it is "bacterial SSU rRNA". It matches the Rfam family "Bacterial small subunit ribosomal RNA", at positions 8 to 518 of the family's 1533-position model. The record is from RNAcentral.
AGAGUUUGAUUCUGGCUCAGGAUGAACGCUAGCUACAGGCUUAACACAUGCAAGUCGAGGGGCAUCAGGGGCUGUGCUUGCACAGUCCGCUGGCGACCGGCGCACGGGUGAGUAACGCGUAUCCAACCUGGCCCUCAGUAGGGGAUAGCCCGGCGAAAGUCGGAUUAAUACCCUAUGUUGUCCGACGAAGACAUCUGAAUCGGACCAAAGAUUCAUCGCUGAGGGAUGGGGAUGCGUCUGAUUAGGUAGUCGGCGGGGUAACGGCCCACCGAGCCAUCGAUCAGUAGGGGUUCUGAGAGGAAGGUCCCCCACAUUGGUACUGAGACACGGACCAAACUCCUACGGGAGGCAGCAGUGAGGAAUAUUGGUCAAUGGGCGCGAGCCUGAACCAGCCAAAAGUAGCGUGCAGGAUGACGGCCCUAUGGGUUGUAAACUGCUUUUGCCGGGGAAUAAAGUUCGCCACGCGUGGCGUUUUGUAUGUACCCGGAGAAUAAGGACCGGCUAAUUCCGUGCCAGCCGCCGC